RNAcentral lists this ribosomal RNA (253 nucleotides) under uncultured bacterium. Its description in RNAcentral is "partial 16S ribosomal RNA". It matches the Rfam family "Bacterial small subunit ribosomal RNA", at positions 524 to 776 of the family's 1533-position model. The record is from RNAcentral.
UACGUAGGGUCCGAGCGUUGUCCGGAAUUAUUGGGCGUAAAGGGCUCGUAGGCGGUUCGUCACGUCGGGAGUGAAAACUCGGAGCUUAACUCCGAGCCUGCUUCCGAUACGGGCAGACUAGAGGUAGGCAGGGGAGAGCGGAACUCCUGGUGUAGCGGUGGAAUGCGCAGAUAUCAGGAGGAACACCAGUGGCGAAGGCGGUGCUCUGGGCCGGAACUGACGCUGAGGAGCGAAAGCGUGGGGAGCAAACAGG